This 301-nucleotide ribosomal RNA is filed under the name uncultured bacterium. RNAcentral's name for it is "bacterial SSU rRNA". It matches the Rfam family "Bacterial small subunit ribosomal RNA", at positions 505 to 805 of the family's 1533-position model. The record is from RNAcentral.
GUGUCAGCCUCCGCGGUAAUACGGAGGGGGCUAGCGUUGCCCGGAAUCACUGGGCGUAAAGCGUACGUAGGCGGCUUGCCAAGUCACGGGUGAAAGCCUGGGGCUUAACCUCAGAACUGCCCUUGAAACUGGCUCGCUCGAACACAGGAGAGGAGAGUGGAAUUCCGAGUGUAGAGGUGAAAUUCGUAGAUAUUCGGAGGAACACCAGAGGCGAGGGCGACUCACUGGACUGUAGCUGACGCUGAGGUACGAAAGCGUGGGGAGCAAACAGGAUUAGAUACCCUGGUAGUCCACGCCGUAA